GUCCCCACCGUCUAGAGGCCUAGGACACCGCCCUUACACGGCGGUAACAGGGGUUCGAAUCCCCUUGGGGACGCCA
Molecule: transfer RNA, 76 nt
Filed under: Pseudoalteromonas sp. SG43-7
Lineage: Bacteria; Pseudomonadati; Pseudomonadota; Gammaproteobacteria; Alteromonadales; Pseudoalteromonadaceae
Description: tRNA-Val
Rfam family: tRNA
About the family: Transfer RNA (tRNA) molecules are approximately 80 nucleotides in length. Their secondary structure includes four short double-helical elements and three loops (D, anti-codon, and T loops).
Source: RNAcentral